GAUCCUGGCUCAGAUUGAGACGCUGGCGGCAUGCCUUACACAUGCAAGUCGAACGGUAACGGGCCUUCGGGUGCCGACGAGUGGCGAACGGGUGAGUAACGCAUCGGAACGUGCCCAGUGGUGGGGGAUAGCCCGGCGAAAGCCGGAUUAAUACCGCAUACGACCUACGGGUGAAAGGGGGGGACCUUCGGGCCUCGCGCCAUUGGAGCGGCCGAUGUCAGAUUAGGUAGUUGGUGGGGUAAAGGCCUACCAAGCCUGCGAUCUGUAGCUGGUCUGAGAGGACGACCAGCCACACUGGGACUGAGACACGGCCCAGACUCCUACGGGAGGCAGCAGUGGGGAAUUUUGGACAAUGGGCGCAACCCUGAUCCAGCCAUGCCGCGUGCGGGAAGAAGGCCUUCGGGUUGUAAACCGCUUUUGUCAGGGAAGAAAUCUUCUGGGCUAAUACCUCGGGAGGAUGACGGUACCUGAAGAAUAAGCACCGGCUAACUACGUGCCAGCAGCCGCGGUAAUACGUAGGGUGCAAGCGUUAAUCGGAAUUACUG
RNAcentral lists this ribosomal RNA (545 nucleotides) under uncultured bacterium. RNAcentral describes it as "bacterial SSU rRNA". It matches the Rfam family "Bacterial small subunit ribosomal RNA", at positions 15 to 556 of the family's 1533-position model. The record is from RNAcentral.